RNAcentral lists this ribosomal RNA (472 nucleotides) under uncultured bacterium. RNAcentral describes it as "bacterial SSU rRNA". It matches the Rfam family "Bacterial small subunit ribosomal RNA", at positions 329 to 793 of the family's 1533-position model. The record is from RNAcentral.
GCAGAGCAUCCUACGGGAGGCAGCAGUGGGGAAUAUUGCACAAUGGGCGCAAGCCUGAUGCAGCCAUGCCGCGUGUAUGAAGAAGGCCUUCGGGUUGUAAAGUACUUUCAGCAGUGAGGAAGGUGGGUAUGUUAAUAGCAUACUCAUUUGACGUUAGCUGCAGAAGAAGCACCGGCUAACUCCGUGCCAGCAGCCGCGGUAAUACGGAGGGUGCGAGCGUUAAUCGGAAUUACUGGGCGUAAAGCGCAUGCAGGUGGUUUGUUAAGUCAGAUGUGAAAGCCCGGGGCUCAACCUCGGAAUUGCAUUUGAAACUGGCAAACUAGAGUACUGUAGAGGGGGUAGAAUUUCAGGUGUAGCGGUGAAAUGCGUAGAGAUCUGAAGGAAUACCCGGUGGCGAAGGCGGCCCCCUGGACAGAUACUGACACUCAGAUGCGAAAGCGUGGGGAGCAAACAGGAUUAGAUACCAUGGUAG